CCUACGGGAGGCAGCAGUGAGGAAUAUUGGUCAAUGGUCGGGAGACUGAACCAGCCAAGCCGCGUGAGGGAUGAAGGUACAGAGUAUCGUAAACCUCUUUUGUCAGGGAACAAAGGCGGGGACGUGUCCCCGGAUGAGUGUACCUGACGAAAAAGCAUCGGCUAACUCCGUGCCAGCAGCCGCGGUAAUACGGAGGAUGCGAGCGUUAUCCGGAUUUAUUGGGUUUAAAGGGUGCGCAGGCGGUCUGUUAAGUCAGCGGUCAAAGCCCGGGGCUCAACCCCGGCCCGCCGUUGAAACUGGCAGUCGCGAGUUGGAGAGAAGUAGGCGGAAUGCGCGGUGUAGCGGUGAAAUGCAUAGAUAUCGCGCAGAACUCCGAUUGCGAAGGCAGCAUGCCGGAUCCACACUGACGCUGAGGCACGAAAGCGUGGGUAUCGAACAGGAUUAGAUACCCCUGUAGUC
RNAcentral lists this ribosomal RNA (459 nucleotides) under uncultured bacterium. RNAcentral's name for it is "partial 16S ribosomal RNA". It matches the Rfam family "Bacterial small subunit ribosomal RNA", at positions 338 to 795 of the family's 1533-position model. The record is from RNAcentral.